Mus musculus (house mouse) is the source of this 1283-nucleotide long non-coding RNA. RefSeq annotates it as predicted gene, 41798. The record is from RefSeq and is a predicted model, not a curated record. The transcript has 3 exons. NCBI's taxonomy places the organism in Eukaryota, Metazoa, Chordata, Mammalia, Rodentia, Muridae.
UCUCUGUGUGUAGCCUUAGAAGAGGAAACUCUGAGACUGCAGAGGGCAUUCCUUGGGGGUGGUGUGUUCUGUUUGUGUAAACACGUGAGCCAGCCGAGAAUCCAGGCCCAGAAGGACAGGAGGCGAGGCAGCAGCAGCACACCAGCUGGCACGGGCUGCACAACAAACAAAAGCUGACAAAGUUGCCUGCCAUGUGCACUAGCGACUUCCAAAGCCUUUAGCGACGAAAGGCGGAAUAUCUGUUGGCAGAGUGCCUGGUGCUUGUUCCUCUCGGCUGUCUGCCGGUCCUGCAGGGGAGGACUUAAAGCUCCAAAGGUCACAAGAAAGGGCACGGUCUGAUUUGAUCCAUAGCCCCACCCCUAGAAGGGACAGGGUGUUAUUCUGAGUCUUGUAAACCCCCCGGUUGUGCUCAAGCUGCUGUCCCCAUACCCCGUUUCUGUGGAUGUGAAGUUCCCAGGACCCAUGGAGGACAAGGAGGUGUGAGGUCUCAGUUUCCUGCCACAUUCAUUAUGCCUGUCUGCUGCCAUGCAUCCCCGUGGUCAUGGAAAUAGCCUCUGUUCUCUGGAACUGUGUAAUCACACAAACCCUUCCUGCUGUAGGUCGCCUUGGUCAUGUAUAUUAUCACAACAAUAGAAAAAUGACUAGGAUGGAGAACCCCAGACUGAAGUUGAACCGUUUGUCUCAGUCUACAGAUGCACAUACCAAUCACCUCGUGAACCAUCACUGCGUUUACUUUCCAGAUAUUCUUUGGUGUAAUCAACAUGUGUUCUACCCCCAGCCCCCAAGAUCCAGCUCUGCCUCCCAAUUAUACUGAACACCAUGCUUUAGAUAUCUGUGACCCCUUGAUGAAGCUAGACAUGAGAGGAAGUCUGUUCCUCACCCAGGUAUGGGCAAAGCCAAGGAUCACUACAACCAAGGGAUGCUACAACCUGGGGGACACAGCCUGCCAGCCCUGAUAUUACUGGACAGCCUGGAAGCUGAGGAUCGAUUUGCAGAUCAAUGUUGGUGACUAAUUCAACAAUAGGAAGCACCGAUUUUGAAGGAAAAAAAGUGUACAAAUAUUGUAGUGCUUUAAAAGAAUUAUACUGUGUGAGUUGCUCACGCUCCAGUCAACAGCCUUGCCCCUGUGCUCAAGCAACAUGAAGUAUAAAGAACAAGGGGGGGGGCUUGUUACUGUGAAGAAGGGGCUCAGAGCCAAGUUAAGGAGGCUAACCAAGGCCAACGAGGAUUGAGUAUCAUCCAAACACAUUAUACCCGAGUAUGGAAUUAUGACUGAAUAAUUA